GUGAGGAAUAUUGGACAAUGGGCGCAAGCCUGAUCCAGCCAUGCCGCGUGCAGGAAGACGCAUCUAUGGUGUGUAAACUGCUUUUGUACGGGAAGAAACACUCCCUCGUGAGGGAGCUUGACGGUACCGUAAGAAUAAGGAUCGGCUAACUCCGUGCCAGCAGCCGCGGUAAUACGGAGGAUCCAAGCGUUAUCCGGAAUCAUUGGGUUUAAAGGGUCCGUAGGCGGUUUAAUAAGUCAGUAGUGAAAGCCCAUCGCUCAACGAUGGAACGGCCAUUGAUACUGUUAGACUUGAAUUACAAGGAAGUAACUAGAAUAUGUAGUGUAGCGGUGAAAUGCUUAGAUAUUACAUGGAAUACCAAUUGCGAAGGCAGGUUACUACUUGUGGAUUGACGCUGAUGGACGAAAGCGUGGGGAGCGAACAGGAUUAGAUACCCUGGUAGUCC
This 445-nucleotide ribosomal RNA is filed under the name uncultured bacterium. RNAcentral's name for it is "partial 16S ribosomal RNA". It matches the Rfam family "Bacterial small subunit ribosomal RNA", at positions 354 to 796 of the family's 1533-position model. The record is from RNAcentral.